GUUGCUCCACACUCUCUUUCCCGUGUCUAAGUUCGUUCGAUGAAGGCUACUACUAUUUUGUUCUUACAUGAAGGCAUGGAAGCAGCUUUAAAGUAUUUUGGGACUGGUGUUGCUCUAGACUCUUCUUCCCAUGGCUAAGUUCGUUCGUUGAAGGCUACUACUAUUUUGGGUCGGACGACGCUCGCGAUCAUCCCACUCGUGGCUAGAGAUUUCUUUAGAUUUCAAAGAAGUUGGUGAGUCCUCACUGAGGACAAGACUUUUAUUCAUGAUUACUAUUGUCUUCACUUUCUUCUAUUGUUAGGUUGAGCUAGGAGCGUGUCCUAAUCCUCCGUCAAGGGUUAAACUAGAGGCAUGUUUAGACGAUAAUGUGAUGUAUCCAUGCGGGCGUUGAUUGGUUGAUUUUAUCCCUUAGUCCCAUACCCUUUGAGAUUAUUACUUCUGCUUGUCUUUAUCGUAUUCUUUACCUUAUGUAUGCAAUGUAUGCUAAGAUGGCUUAUAGUUGGGGUC
This is a long non-coding RNA of Solanum dulcamara, 507 nucleotides long. RefSeq lists it as uncharacterized. The transcript has 4 exons. The record is from RefSeq and is a predicted model, not a curated record. Lineage: Eukaryota; Viridiplantae; Streptophyta; Magnoliopsida; Solanales; Solanaceae.